Arachis ipaensis is the source of this 1896-nucleotide non-coding RNA. Lineage: Eukaryota; Viridiplantae; Streptophyta; Magnoliopsida; Fabales; Fabaceae. The record is from RefSeq and is a predicted model, not a curated record.
UUUGGCUUUUGUAUGGCGCUGUAAUUUGGUAUAUAAUUUGAGUGAGAAAUUCUAGUUGUGUUGGGGUACACAGAAGGCUGUUAAGUAGUUUCAAUGACAUGGUUUUAUAAACAGAAGCUACCAUUGUGGAAUGGGUUAUGGGGGGUUUGUCACGAUACAAGUGAUUGCCUCUGGUGGUCAGGGUGUUAUCAGUGACAUUUUAUUUUGGCACUUUAGUUUUGUAUCAUAGAAAUCAGAGUCUAUAUUUAUGCUUGAUAAUGUUUUAUGAUACAAGUAUUUCGUUUUUAGCUUUUCGAAUCGAAUAAUUUGAGCAUCAAAGAUUCGUGGGAACAGGCCAGAACUGGCGAGUCUAUAUCAAAAGAAACUGGAUAAAAGGUUGAGGAUAAAUAGAAAUCGCUCUCUCUCACACACACAAACAUCUAAACCAAGUCAGACAAGGCUUAGUAGUUGUUGAUGUAGCAUAUGUGAUAUAUAUAGUAGCGGCAGAAAUAAUUUUAUGCGAUCCCUGAUAAUACUGAUAUAUUGUGAUGUUCUCUGUUCUAUAAUUAUAUAGAAAUUUGAAAAACCAAUAUAUAAAUUAUAUUGGGCUUUUUGUAGAUACAUGGAUUCAAAAUUUAGGUAAUAAUCCUGGUAGAGGUUUGUGAUAUUUUAUCAAUUUUUUUAGACUAGAUAAUUCAGUGUUCUUAUGCACGGAGUUAGUUAAGCUGAUUUCUCUGGUUGGACUUGACUUUUCUUUUUUUCUUUUUAAGAAAAACACAUUUUUCAUGUUCCAUAGUUGUAUCUUGUUUUCUCUGGCAAUUUGGCUGUUGGAAUUGUGAGUAUAGUUUUAAACAGUUUGUUUGUCCUUUUAGGCAAUGUUGACUGGUUCUGAGUGUAGUUUCAGAAUGGUUUGAGUUUGAUGACAGUUUAUUUUUUCCAUUGCCACUGUAUGUCCCUUACCUUACUGAGUGGGGAAUUCAAAUAAAAGCUGUAUCACAUCUUACACUCAGAAGCAUCAAUUAUGGUUAACUAUUUGCUAUUCUAUUGUCUGGAGGAAAAAGGAAUUUACAAAUAGAAAAAGAAAAGAGAGACAAUAAAUAUCUGCACAGGAAUAAAGCAAAAGAGAAAAUGUAGGUCCAAGUGAUUGAGCUACGUAACAAGGCAUGCCAAUCUGAAUAAUGAUAUACAUCCAAGUGUUCUUAUUAACCAAGUCCAAUCAAGUUGGUCUAACAUCAACAAAAAUCAAUUAUGGGUCGCAUUAUUUCAAGUCUUGUUGUUUAACUUGGCUGGACUUGAUUUAUAAAAAGACUUGGAUAUGUAACAUUAUUCCGCUGAUCUGUCUACAUAUCUAAACAUCUUUGAAGAGACCAUUAGUAGGGCACCACUGAGAUGCAAACGGAAAAACCCUAUGUCGGCACAUUUUAGUUCAUUUUUCUUUUGUAGUCUGCAAUUUCUCUCGUGAAAUUUAAUAUCAGUUAGUAGCUUGUUCCUUUUCCCUUGUUGCAUGUAAUCACCUCAUCUUCCUUGUUGAACUAGAGUUCAUUUUCCCAUUUUCUCUGUAACUUAUCUCAACAAUUUAGUUAAAACAAUACUAGCAAGCACAAUUAAUUCUACCUGUUAGUUUUUGUAUGCAUGUCUAAUUAAAUUAGAUGUAUGCGAUAUACUAUAUUUGGAAAGUAAACAGGUAAGAGAACCUGUUGAAUAUGAGUUAAUCUUAGCUGUUAUAGAGCAUCCUUAUUCUUGUUGCCUGCCUAAAACAGGUGUAGAUUAUUUGAUAUUUAUUUUUUAUCCUUCUCACCUUUGAGGACAAGAAGAGUAACAGUUAUAUAACCACAAUAGUUUGUAUAACUUCUGGGAAUAUUGGUAGACUUAGUUAUUACUUUAAGUUGCUUAUGUUAUAGCUUCUAGUGUAGAAGA